RNAcentral lists this ribosomal RNA (253 nucleotides) under uncultured bacterium. Its description in RNAcentral is "partial 16S ribosomal RNA". It matches the Rfam family "Bacterial small subunit ribosomal RNA", at positions 524 to 776 of the family's 1533-position model. The record is from RNAcentral.
UACGGGGGGGGCAAGCGUUGUUCGGAAUUACUGGGCGUAAAGGGCUCGUAGGCGGCCAAGUAAGUCAGACGUGAAAUCCCUCGGCUUAACUGGGGAACUGCGUCUGAUACUGGAUGGCUUGGAUUCGGGAGAGGAAUGCGGAAUUCCAGGUGUAGCGGUGAAAUGCGUAGAUAUCUGGAGGAACACCGGUGGCGAAGGCGGCAUUCUGGACCGAUAUUGACGCUGAGGAGCGAAAGCCAGGGGAGCAAACGGG